AGUGAACGCUGGCGGUAGGCCUAACACAUGCAAGUCGAACGGCAGCACAGUAAGAGCUUGCACUUACGGGUGGCGAGUGGCGGACGGGUGAGGAAUACAUCGGAAUCUACUUUUUCGUGGGGGAUAACGUAGGGAAACUUACGCUAAUACCGCAUACGACCUACGGGUGAAAGCAGGGGAUCUUCGGACCUUGCGCGAUUGAAUGAGCCGAUGUCGGAUUAGCUAGUUGGCGGGGUAAAGGCCCACCAAGGCGACGAUCCGUAGCUGGUCUGAGAGGAUGAUCAGCCACACUGAAACUGAGACACGGUCCAGACUCCUACGGGAGGCAGCAGUGGGGAAUAUGGGACAAUGGGCGCAAGCCUGAUCCAGCCAUACCGCGUGGUGAAGAAGGCCUUCGGGUGGUAAAGCCCUUUUGUUGGGAAAGAAAAGCAGCAGGUUAAUACCCCGCUGUUCUGACGGUACCCAAAGAAUAAGCACCGGCGAACUUCGU
Molecule: ribosomal RNA, 490 nt
Filed under: uncultured bacterium
Lineage: Bacteria
Description: partial 16S ribosomal RNA
Rfam family: Bacterial small subunit ribosomal RNA
Source: RNAcentral